GCGGGGACUCGUUUUCCUCUGUCAGGGCCUGGCAGCCAGCGAGGAGCUGAACAAGUAUGCCUGCCACCCCGGCGUGACCUGGAGUUCACAUGGACGAAGCUACACUCAGUCGCAGGAACCCUCGGGCCUUUGAAGUCGCUGAGUCGUCCUGACGGCAGAUCCCUUCCGUGGAGGACUGAUGCUCUGCCAGAAGAGUAAAACGCCGUCGUUUUUAGACUGCCCUUUGGGAUAAAAGAGACAGUCGUGCAGUGCAGCCCCAGUGCCAGGCUCACGUCUGACAGAGCCGCCAUUGUUCGUGUCGCCCCUCAGUGAGCUCUGCUCAGUUAGCGAGGCCCCAGGCCGCUUCAGGGCUCCGGUACAGGUUUCUUGCAAGGAUCAGGUACACAGCUGUGUGUGGAAAUGAAGGACAGUGGAAGAGGCCAUGUCUACACGAUAUCCAACAUCUGCUUCGAAACUGAGUUCAGUCAGCUCUCCAGAUGUUUCCUCAUGCCCAAAGUUUGCCAAAACCAUCUCUUGACUGAAUGUUGCAGUUUCCGUCUGAUUGUUCUGGAGAAGGUGGUCUGUUCUUCUGCCACGUGGGCUUUUAGAUGUGAAGAAGUGAUAUAAGCUAAAAGACGUAGGCAUCCCAGUCUCCCUACCCAAUGUUUACCUCCUGCUUUCUCCACCAUCGUCAUCGUGGGCGCGUGAAGGAAACGUGACGGCCCUGCGCUGAGGGGACUAAGUCUGUCUUUGUCCGCACAUGAGCUCAGCUUCUCCCAGUUGUGCUGACUCUGUGGGAUUCCCAGAAAGGAAAAGCCAGGAGCAAAGCACCAGGAAAAUGACCUCGGCCACUUGAGUCUGGCCUUCUUCCCAUAUACCCACCAUCUGCUCAUUGAAGAAUCUCAGUCCUUCUCCUCCUGCUCAUUAGAACUGACACUUCCCAGGCCAGAGGGAUGACUAGGAUGAAUCAGAGAGGCACAUGAAUGCCCAUACGUAUGGUCCUCAUUUUUCCUUCCUCAGAUAAAGCCUUCCUCUUUUAUUACGCAAGUUGACCUGCGCCCCAUCAAAGAAGGAAGGGGUUUUCAACAUAAAGAAUCCAGGUAACACAGAGUAGAGAUGCAUCGUGGUUGGAGCAAAAUGUAAUACUGAAGGUCACGGCAGCUAGAAAGCUGGAGACAUCAGGGCUAGGUGGAGAAGUAAUGAGGGUGAAUGGUGGGCAUCUCAGGAUGGAUGUGUGUAUUUGACAAGGAGGGCGUUGGAGAAAGAUGAUCUAAGAGCUAAAACAUAAAUGUGGGGGUUCGUUUUAAGGAAUUGGGGUUGAGAGUAAUAUGAACACAUUUCAAACCUUAGAUGAGUUCCCCUGGUUUAUUUAUAUUUGGCUUUUAUUAAAAUCUGUUAUUAUUGCUGUUUUUUUUUUUUUUUUUGCUUUUAUGUCUUUAGAAGCUGUCUCCACUGUUCUGAUACUGUUGUAUUAUGUUAUGUUCUUUCUUUCCUGUUUUUCUUCUCCUACAACCACUGUUGGGCAUCGUUUAUCCUCAAUAAUGCAAUUAGAGUAAUCUUCGGUUUUUCAAGUGAAGACUCUGAUGUAUGUAUAUAUUUGAGCUUUACUUUAUGCCAUGCUGUAGAUCACUGAUGGUAGUCAGUUGUGUUCGAAUUGAAAAGAUUAUCAAGCCUCAAAAAAUGGCGAUGAUGAGGGGAAUAGUUUUUAAAAAGUUGGGUGGCCUUAUAGGAGGCUGUUUUGAAAGUGUCAUGGUUAGAGAAGGAGAGGCAAAGAAUAACUUGCCAAUAUUAGGAAAGAUAAUUUGGAAGGAAUGGAUUCCAGAAACUGCUCAAAUAAAGGGAACAUUCUAACCGGCAGAAGGAGAGGAGGGUAAGAGGCAGGAAGGGAGGACAGAGAGAGAGAGAGUGCUGUGUUGUUAAAUGAGUUCGAACCUGAUGCUUAUUCUGUGGAGGCUGUUGCCCUGAGUUUGUCCAUACCUGGCACUCUUGGUGUUCUCUGAACCGGUCCAGCUUUGGUUUGGGGUGAAAGUCUUUCUUCUUCUUCUUUUUUUUUUUUUUUUGUCCCGACCAUCAGCUUUUUUUCCAUUUUGGUGAAUGAAGUCUAGGUCAGGUAUAGUAAGCAAUUAACGUGGCAUGAGGAAAAGUUAGAUAAAGGAGAAUAACAAUAACAAAAUUAUGAUAUGGAAAUCACUUCCUUUAGAUUGUAGAUAGACAUACAUAAAUAAUGCUGUCCAACUCUCCCAAAUUCCCAUCGCUGAGAAAUUCUGACCCAGCUCAAUUAACCUGCCGUUUAUGAAAACGCUUCCAUAUGCCCCCAGCAAUACAUGACGUUCACCUUCCUUUCACCACGAGAGCAUUUUCGGGCUUGUUUUAGUCCCACUGUGGGCACACUAUGCUUUAACUCCUUUUCGCUUGCAUAGAAGUCCCUAGUGCACAUUUUUGACUCAAAUAGCGAUUAAAACGCAUGGCAGACAUUGAAGUAAGGUUUCUAUUUGGACUGGAUUGGCAAGCCCUGCUCUGAGUCUGUAAUGGUCAUGUAGAUGUUUCUCUGUGAACACAUACAUGUAUUAACCUUUACAGGAGCACACACGUGUUUGAAGGCAGUAGUAGGAAGAGGAGUGGCAUUCGGGCUCUGGAACUACCUGCCUUGACCUUGAAUCUGAGUGUUACCACGAUCCAGCUGUGUGAUUUGGGGCAAAGCCUUUAACCUAUCCUGUUGAAGUUUUCUCUUGUGUGAUGGGGAUGCUACCAACAUCUGUCUGAUAAGACAGUUGUCAGAAGAAAAUGAUAGAAUACAUGUAAAGCAUUUAGAACAAUCCCUUUCA
Molecule: long non-coding RNA, 2804 nt
Organism: Leopardus geoffroyi (Geoffroy's cat)
Lineage: Eukaryota; Metazoa; Chordata; Mammalia; Carnivora; Felidae
Exons: 4
Source: RefSeq, a predicted model, not a curated record